Molecule: ribosomal RNA, 465 nt
Filed under: uncultured bacterium
Lineage: Bacteria
Description: partial 16S ribosomal RNA
Rfam family: Bacterial small subunit ribosomal RNA
Source: RNAcentral
CCUACGGUGGGCAGCAGUAGGGAAUCUUCCACAAUGGGCGAAAGCCUGAUGGAGCAACGCCGCGUGGGUGAAGAAGGUCUUCGGAUCGUAAAACCCUGUUGUUAGAGAAGAAAGUGCGUGAGAGUAACUGUUCACGUUUCGACGGUAUCUAACCAGAACGCCACGGCUAACUACGUGCCAGCAGCCGCGGUAAUACGUAGGUGGCAUGCGUUAUCCGGUUUUAUUGGGCGUAAAGGGAACGCAGGCGGUCUUUUAAGUCUGAUGUGAAAGCCUUCGGCUUAACCGGAGUAGUGCAUUGGAGACUGGGAGACUUGAGUGCAGAAGAGGAGGGUGGAACUCCAUGUGUAGCGGUGAAAUGCGUAGAUAUAUGAAAGAACACCAGUGGCGAAAGCGGCUCUCGGGUCUGUAACUGACGCUGAGGUUCGAAAGCGUGGGUAGCAAACAGGAUUAGAUACCCGAGUAGUC